UGGGGAAUAUUGGACAAUGGGGGCAACCCUGAUCCAGCGACGCCGCGUGGGUGAAGAAGGCCUGCGGGUUGUAAAGCCCUUUCGGUUGGGAAGAAAAGUUCUGAUCUAACACAUCGGGACCUUGACGUAACCAACUAAAGAAGCACCGGCUAACUCUGUGCCAGCAGCCGCGGUAAUACAGAGGGUGCGAGCGUUAAUCGGAAUUACUGGGCGUAAAGCGCGCGUAGGCGGCUUUGUAAGUCGGUUGUGAAAUCCCCGGGCUCAACCUGGGAACUGCAUCCGAGACUGCAUGGCUAGAGUAUGGGAGAGGGAAGUGGAAUUUCAGGUGUAGCGGUGAAAUGCGUAGAUAUCUGAAGGAACUUCAGUGGCGAAAGCGACUUCCUGGACCAAUACUGACGCUCAUGUGCGAAAGCGUGGGGAGCAAACAG
This 428-nucleotide ribosomal RNA is filed under the name uncultured bacterium. RNAcentral's name for it is "bacterial SSU rRNA". It matches the Rfam family "Bacterial small subunit ribosomal RNA", at positions 355 to 775 of the family's 1533-position model. The record is from RNAcentral.